GUUAGUCGGGAAAAGGAGCCCCCUUGCCAUUACACUGCUACCUUCAUUUGACCACUCUAAUGGGACUGCCGACGACAUUCCGGAGAAAGGUGGAGAUGACUUCAAGUCGUCAUGGCCCUUAUAGGUGGGGCUACACACUUCAUACAUUGGCUGGUACAAAGGGUUGCCAUCCCGGAAGGGGGAGCUCACCCCAUAAAGCCAGUCGUAGUCCGGAUCGCAUCCUGCAACCCGACUGCGGGAAGUCGGAAUCGCUAGUAAUCGUGGAUCAAAAUGUCACGGUGAAUACGUUCCCGGGUCUUGUUCACUCCGCCAGU
Molecule: ribosomal RNA, 314 nt
Filed under: uncultured bacterium
Lineage: Bacteria
Description: bacterial SSU rRNA
Rfam family: Bacterial small subunit ribosomal RNA
Source: RNAcentral